This 504-nucleotide ribosomal RNA is filed under the name uncultured bacterium. Its description in RNAcentral is "bacterial SSU rRNA". It matches the Rfam family "Bacterial small subunit ribosomal RNA", at positions 21 to 518 of the family's 1533-position model. The record is from RNAcentral.
GGCUUAGGAUGAACGCUAGCGACAGGCCUAACACAUGCAAGUCGAGGGGCAGCACAAGGAGCAAUCUGAGGUGGCGACCGGCGCACGGGUGAGUAACACGUAUGCAACCUGCCUGUAAGCGGGGAAUAACCCGUUGAAAGACGGACUAAUACCGCAUAAUACUAAAUUACUGCAUGGUAAUUUAUUUAAACAUUUAUGGCUUACAGAUGGGCAUGCGCAUGAUUAGCUAGUUGGAGAGGUAACGGCUCCCCAAGGCAACGAUCAUUAGGGGUUCUGAGAGGAAGGUCCCCCACACUGGUACUGAGACACGGACCAGACUCCUACGGGAGGCAGCAGUGAGGAAUGUUGGUCAAUGGACGAGAGUCUGAACCAGCCAAGUCGCGUGCAGGAAGAAUGUCCUUAAUGGAUUGUAAACUGCUUUUGCAGGGGAAUAAAGUGCAUCACGUGUGAUGUUUUGUAUGUACUCUGCGAAUAAGGAUCGGCUAACUCCGUGCCAGCAGCUGC